This 255-nucleotide long non-coding RNA is filed under the name Lathyrus oleraceus (garden pea). RNAcentral's name for it is "Pisum sativum (pea) long non-coding RNA (PSAT_LNC020865)". Lineage: Eukaryota; Viridiplantae; Streptophyta; Magnoliopsida; Fabales; Fabaceae. The record is from RNAcentral.
GAGGUCGAAGUCCAAGAUUUUUCUGUUAUAUUUUUAUUAUUUAUUUAUUUAUUUAUUUAUUUUUUCGUUUUUCGUUUUUUUUCAUUUUUUUUUUCGUUCUUUUUUUUUCCUCAAAACGCGCGGGCUUCGCCUAGCGAGCAUGACAGUUCAAGAAAUUCCUCUGAGCGUAGGUGAUUCUGGUGGCUUUUCUUGGGACUCUCUAGGCGACCCAUUCUGCUCGCUUAGCGAGCAUGACAACUCAUGAACAAACUUUUG